UUUUCAUUAAUCAAGGACGAAAGUUAGAGGUUCGAAGGCGAUCAGAUACCGCCCUAGUUCUAACCGUAAACGAUGCCAACUGGCCAUUCGCCGGUGUUAAUAAUCGACUCGGCGGGCAGCUUCCGGGAAACCAAAGUGUUCUGGUUCCGGGGGAAGUAUGGUUGCAAAGCUUAAACUUAAAGGAAUUGACGGAAGGGCACCACCAGGAGUGGAGCCUGCGGCUUAAUUUGACUCAACACGGGAAAACUCACCCGGCCAAGACACAAUAAGGAUUGACAGAUUGAUAGCUCUUUCUCGAUUUUGUGGGUGGUGGUGCAUGGCCGUUCUUAGUUGGUGGAGCGAUUUGUCUGGUUAAUUCCGAUAACGAACGAGACUCUAGCCUAUUAAAUAGACGCAAUAUUUUUCUAUUGUAUUCGCGUUCUUCUUAGAGGGACAAGCAGCUUCUAGCUGCACGAGAUUGAGCAAUAACAGGUCUGUGAUGCCCUUAGAUGUCCGGGGCUGCACGCGCGCUACACUGAAAAUAACAGUGUGCGUCUGAAACCAUGUCUGAAAAGACUUGGUAAACACGAAUUAUUUCCGUGCUUGGGAUAGGGGAUUGAAAUUAUUUCCCUUGAACGAGGAAUUUCUAGUAAGUGCGAGUCAUAAGCUCGCGCUGAUUACGUCCCUGCCCUUUGUACACACCGCCCGUCGCUACUACAGAUUGGAAGAUUCAAUGAGAAAUUUGGAGCGAAUUCGAAGUGAUGUCAAAGUCGCUACGAUAUUUGCAAAGAUUUUCAAAUUGUAGCUUCUAGAUGAAGUAAAAGUCGUAACAAGGUUUC
Molecule: ribosomal RNA, 818 nt
Filed under: Mermithidae sp. A-AV-2003
Lineage: Eukaryota; Metazoa; Nematoda; Enoplea; Mermithida; Mermithidae
Description: SSU rRNA
Rfam family: Eukaryotic small subunit ribosomal RNA
Source: RNAcentral